UUAGACUUUCUAGUCUUCUCUCUCUCUUGAAGCGUCCUUCUUCUUUUUCUUUCUGGUUGAAUUUGGAAUAAUUUCCAGGAUGUUUAAUCUAAGAGAAACUCUUGUAAACACGUCUUGCUAUAGUAAAUGAUAGAUAUGAGAUAUUGGCUAUCUGUUGUAGUUUGGCUUUUGAUAAAUUGAGAGAAGAGAGUUGUGUCCAAUUUGGAGAUCCUUUGAUGAACAAACUAAUUGUCUGCGUGGUUCUUUGUACUUUGUUCUCUUUGAAAAGUAGUUUGCACAUGGUGGAUUGGACUGAUCUUGAGCCCCCCAAAUUAAGUCUUUUUGGCCGAACUAGGUGAACAUUUUACUGUGUUCUUUACCUUUUUGCACUUUGUGUUUGGUUCGGUUUAUAUUGUUUGUGAUCUUUGGAUUAAAAUACCCAACAAGUCUGGUAUCAUAACCAUUUCUUAGAGCUUCUGGGUAAAAAUUUGUAUUCUGAAAAUAAGCAGUAUUCUUGAGGUGAUUGGAGACCUAAAAGGGUUUUGGUUUCACUGAAAUUUUUCUUUGAAAAUAUUUCUUUUUUUUAAAUUUGUGCAGAUCUAAACAAGUGUGUUAAAGUUACUCAUAAUUUUUCUUAAGUGUGAAGGUAAAGUGAUUUGGCAUUUUCUUUCUUGGCCGUUUGGGACGUUACCUAGAAGGAAAAAGGGUGUUCUUUGAAUUUAAUAGCUCUGUUGUUCAACAAUGCUGGGUGAGAUUGUUCUUGAACUUUCUCCGGAUAAUCCUGGUUUACAUAUUAACUUGUUCAUUGAUCUGUAGAUUAAUUGUUGUGCAUUGAGUACUCAGUGUUACAAAAUUAAUCUGACAUAGGAGCAUGUAUAGGAUUUAUCAUUCUGAAUCCGUUAUACUUGUUGUGUAAUCUUGCAUUAACAACACUGCGAUUGCUUGUGUUUACUGUAUUGAUUGUGCAAGUUAGGGUAGUUGAUUUCAUUCUGUAAUCAAUCUUUCUUUAAUUCUUUUAGGAACCAUUUUUCUGCACUUGAGUGAUCGCA
RNAcentral lists this long non-coding RNA (1028 nucleotides) under Olea europaea (common olive). RNAcentral describes it as "long non-coding RNA (OEUR_LNC001881)". Lineage: Eukaryota; Viridiplantae; Streptophyta; Magnoliopsida; Lamiales; Oleaceae. The record is from RNAcentral.